AACGAACGCUGGCGGCAUGCCUAACACAUGCAAGUCGAACGGUGUUCCCGCUUCGGCGGGGGCAUAGUGGCGCACGGGCGAGUAACGCGUGGGAACCUGCCCCGUGGUACGGAACAACUCCGGGAAACUGGAGCUAAUACCGUAUGUGUCCCCUGGGACAAAGAUUGCAUCGCCAUGGGAGGGGCCCGCGUAGGAUUAGGUAGUUGGCGGGGUAACGGCCCACCAAGCCCGCGAUCCUUAGCUGGUCUGAGAGGAUGAUCAGCCACACUGGGACUGAGACACGGCCCAGACUCCUACGGGAGGCAGCAGUGGGGAAUAUUGGACAAUGGGCGCAAGCCUGAUCCAGCAACGCCGCGUGAGUGAUGAAGGCCUUCGGGUUGUAAAGCUCUUUCGCACGCGACGAUGAUGACGGUAGCGUGAGAAGAAGCCCCGGCUAACUUCGUGCCAGCCGCCGCCGUAA
Molecule: ribosomal RNA, 460 nt
Filed under: uncultured bacterium
Lineage: Bacteria
Description: partial 16S ribosomal RNA
Rfam family: Bacterial small subunit ribosomal RNA
Source: RNAcentral